GCGGACAGUGUCUGGUGGGUAGUUUGACUGGGGCGGUCUCCUCCUAAAGAGUAACGGAGGAGCACGAAGGUUGGCUAAUCCUGGUCGGACAUCAGGAGGUUAGUGCAAUGGCAUAAGCCAGCUUGACUGCGAGCGUGACGGCGCGAGCAGGUGCGAAAGCAGGUCAUAGUGAUCCGGUGGUUCUGAAUGGAAGGGCCAUCGCUCAACGGAUAAAAGGUACUCCGGGGAUAACAGGCUGAUACCGCCCAAGAGUUCAUAUCGACGGCGGUGUUUGGCACCUCGAUGUCGGCUCAUCACAUCCUGGGGCUGAAGUAGGUCCCAAGGGUAUGGCUGUUCGCCAUUUAAAGUGGUACGCGAGCUGGGUUUAGAACGUCGUGAGACAGUUCGGUCCCUAUCUGCCGUGGGCGCUGGAGAACUGAGGGGGGCUGCUCCUAGUACGAGAGGACCGGAGUGGACGCAUCACUGGUGUUCGGGUUGUCAUGCCAAUGGCACUGCCCGGUAGCUAAAUGCGGAAGAGAUAAGUGCUGAAAGCAUCUAAGCACGAAACUUGCCCCGAGAUGAGUUCUCCCUGAGACUUUAAGUCUCCUGAAGGAACGUUAAAGACGAUGACGUUGAUAGGCCGGGUGUGUAAGCGCAGCGAUGCGUUGAGCUAACCGGUACUAAUGAACCGUGAGGCUUAACCUUACAACGCCGAAG
RNAcentral lists this ribosomal RNA (696 nucleotides) under Salmonella enterica subsp. salamae. Its description in RNAcentral is "partial 23S ribosomal RNA". It matches the Rfam family "Bacterial large subunit ribosomal RNA", at positions 2247 to 2925 of the family's 2925-position model. Lineage: Bacteria; Pseudomonadati; Pseudomonadota; Gammaproteobacteria; Enterobacterales; Enterobacteriaceae. The record is from RNAcentral.